This 253-nucleotide ribosomal RNA is filed under the name uncultured bacterium. RNAcentral's name for it is "partial 16S ribosomal RNA". It matches the Rfam family "Bacterial small subunit ribosomal RNA", at positions 524 to 776 of the family's 1533-position model. The record is from RNAcentral.
UACGGGGGGGGCAAGCGUUGUUCGGAAUUACUGGGCGUAAAGGGCGCGUAGGCGGUCCGCUAAGUUGAAUGUGAAAACUCUGGGCUUAACCCAGAGCCUGCAUUCAAUACUGGCAGGCUAGAGUUCUGGAGGGGAUAGCGGAAUUCCUGGUGUAGCGGUGAAAUGCGUAGAUAUCAGGAGGAACACCGGUGGCGAAGGCGGCUAUCUGGACAGAGUCUGACGCUGAGGCGCGAAAGCGUGGGGAGCAAACAGG